RNAcentral lists this transfer RNA (95 nucleotides) under Bacillota bacterium. RNAcentral's name for it is "Firmicutes bacterium (anaerobic digester metagenome) tRNA-Ser". It matches the Rfam family "tRNA". Rfam says of the family: Transfer RNA (tRNA) molecules are approximately 80 nucleotides in length. Their secondary structure includes four short double-helical elements and three loops (D, anti-codon, and T loops). Lineage: Bacteria; Bacillati; Bacillota. The record is from RNAcentral.
GGAGAGGUACCCAAGUUGGCUGAAGGGGCGGGUUUGCUAAACCUGUAGUAGGGCGUUUAGCUCUAGCGAGGGUUCGAAUCCCUCCCUCUCCGCCA